UGAUAGCUGCAUUAUCCAAAAGGAGCCCUACUAUGUAUGGGCAAGCUGAGAUUCAGGAUGAUAAUGCACUUUUGAGAAUCGAUAAAGAAACUUGAACUCUGGGACCACGUUUGUCCCUGUUCUCACUGAUGUGCCAUCUUACAAUGGCCAGGGAGAGAUCAAGCUGGCAGCCCAAGCGACAUCUACCAGCCUUUCACAGCAAAAGGAAGCAAAGGUAUUUGCAUUGACUACCGAGAAUUCUAAAUCCCAUUGUUACAUAACUAAUGAGAAAAGUGAUUCUCAAGGAAGUUAAGUGACUGGUCCAAGGUCAUACAAGUGGUAAGCGUCUGAUGUGCACUACCAUUCCUUAUACAUUCAAGCAAUAUGAUCUUUUUCAUUGGCUCCUGAAACAACUACAAUGAGAACGUUCUUCCAAAUGUGACAUUCCAACAAACUUUGCUCAUUUUUUGGUGUGGAGAACCUAAGAUCCCAGGGGCAUGGAGAUUUCAGGAAGCUAUGUUAGUAGCAUGCCUAUUCUUGAAGCCAAGCCUCUGCCUAGCUAAGUAAGCUAAUAUUUGGUUUGCGUACUUAGUCUCCACUGAAGCCCUCCUCUGACACCUCACUGUGGUAUGAAAAAGGACUCUGGGUUCUCAAAGGCUAAGCAAGCAAAUCUCAAGCCCUGACAGACUCUACCAAAAUUUUGGGCACCGGUACAAUGGCUACCCCUACUUCUGUUGUUGAGAAAUCAGCCCCGCCAAGGACAAAGAUUUCAUCACCAGGUUGGAUGCAAGGGGAUGGAUUUCUGGCUCGGCUACUCAAAAAGUUGGUUAAGUUUGUAUCUGUGUCUAUAGAGGGAGGGAACCACGGGGAGGGGAGGAAUCACAGAUCCUGGUCUCAAAGUAUUUUCUAUUACAUGGCCCAAUUAGCAUUGAUAUCAAGAGUGAUAAGACCAAGAGAUAACUUGUAAAAAUUACUGAUUUAUCUUUUUACUAGAAACACUAUCUCCUUCAGCUUAUCUAUUUUUCUUUGGUUGAAUUACCUUUCUGCUCUCAAGCUACUGUUGUCAUUUGUCCUUUGCUCUUGAAGAGGACCUUGACAUCAGAGAGGUGAUGCCGGACAAGCGAGUGAGUUGGAUUUAAGUGAGGGAGGGCUGAGUUCAGAUGCUAAGAAAAGACUGGAAGUCCUUAAUACUAUUUAGAAGAUAAUUUACACACUGAGACGUAGCAAGCCUAGCUUUCCGUCCCACAAUAAUUAUAGUGGCUAAUUCAAUUUAGUAAAUGUGUAUUAAUGCCAGCUGUCUGCAAUCAAUCAAUCCAGCCUUGAAGCCCGGAAGACUUAGGGAAGAAUCUUACUUCUGAUGCACACUAGCUGCGUGACCCUAGACAGAUGCUUCAUCUUUCAAUGCUCUAGGCAAUUCCCUAAGAAGACAGGUUGUAAAAUAAGGUUCUGGUUUGUAUUGGUAGAGGGAUUUCCCUAUUGAAAUCACAGGUCCAGUACAUACCCCUAUGUACAAAACACUAUGUUAGGCACAGGAUAAAAAUAGACAUUGAAGGAUUAAAGGACUAUUUACCUAAUAAAUGCUUCCACAUACUAAUGAAUGUGGAAAUCAAUUCUGGGUAUACCUGCACCUUUUUUUUUGUUAUCACUUCAAGUUUGCUUAAAUGUCACAAGUAUAUAGACACCAAAAUGCCAGUUUCAAAGACAGAUGUACUUAUUAGUGUUUCUCCUACUAAUACAAUGGAUGAAUUUUGAUUUUUGCAAUUUUAAAAUCUCCAAUGCCGUCUCAAUGCCUGUAAGAUAAUAUCCAGGUUCCUCAGUCUGGCAUUCAAGGGUCUUCAUCUCUAACCUACAUAUCUAACCUUUUGUCCCUUGACCUAUAUCGCUCCCCUUUUCAUCAACUAUAUGUAAACUCUACUAUAACUAAGUUAGUUUUCUAAUUGGGGAAAGAAAUAAAAUAUUAUUUUUAAAAGUUGGUCUUCUCAUUAUUCUGAGAAUAUUCUAUGCUUAUUCCCAGCUACAAGUCUUUGUUUACUUUUUUCCCUUCUACCCUUAAUCCCCUUUUGCUUCUACCCAUUCAAAUUGUGCCUAUCCUUCAAAUUUCACCCUUUCCCAGGCUUAUCUGACCAUCCUCUUUGAUUAUUUCCAAUGAUUCACUUCUUGGAAUUAAUGUAGCUUAUUACAAGGCUAAUCAUAUACAACCUUUCAUUGUAACUUAAC
Phascolarctos cinereus (koala) is the source of this 2196-nucleotide non-coding RNA. Lineage: Eukaryota; Metazoa; Chordata; Mammalia; Diprotodontia; Phascolarctidae. The record is from RefSeq and is a predicted model, not a curated record.